GACAGAGGCCCCGAGCGUUAGGCGGAAUCACUGGGCUUAAAGCGUGUGUAGGCGGAUCGUUAAGUGUCUUGUGAAAUCCCACGGCUCACCCGUGGAACUGCUGGGCAUACUGGCGAUCUUGGGCCGUUCAGGGGCGACUGGAACAAGCGGUGGAGCGGUGAAAUGCGUAGAUAUCGAGAGGAACACCUGCGGCGAAGGCGGGUCUCUGGGCAACUACUGACGCUGAGGAGCGAAAGCGUGGGGAGCGAACAGG
Molecule: ribosomal RNA, 253 nt
Filed under: uncultured bacterium
Lineage: Bacteria
Description: partial 16S ribosomal RNA
Rfam family: Bacterial small subunit ribosomal RNA
Source: RNAcentral